RNAcentral lists this long non-coding RNA (2560 nucleotides) under Gossypium barbadense (sea-island cotton). RNAcentral describes it as "long non-coding RNA (GBAR_LNC005544)". The record is from RNAcentral. Lineage: Eukaryota; Viridiplantae; Streptophyta; Magnoliopsida; Malvales; Malvaceae.
UUUCUUUUUACUUGAGCCUUUAAGAUAGGCACUGAACCGUAGCUAUAAAAUUUAAGAGAAACUCGAAUUGUAAUCACCAGCCAUUGAGGAGAUUUUGGUAUGAAAAAGAGAAGUUGAAGUUGAAGCAGAGCGGGAAUUGUGGCUGUUUGUAAAAUCAUUCAAUAACUGUUACAAAAUGAUCUAAUUGCCUAACCAAUUUCCAAUGCAAUUCAAGAAGUUCUAGUUACCUAACAGAGCCAAUGUUCGCCAAUGGACAAAGGAACCAACAACAAACAUGAACGACACGCCCCAACCAGUUAAAACACUUUUCCUUCCUCAUUCGUUUGUGGAUUAACAUGAUUGAACUCUUGAAACACCUAUAAAUAAAGAAACACAUGGAAUUGAGUUGAAUAUGAACUUCAAUGUACCACAAUAGAAAAUUCAAAUAAAAUCUUUUUUUAUAAAAUUCUGAAAAAAAGAUAUAGCUUUUUCGAACAAAUGGAAUGUGUGACUUGAAGUUAAAAUUGAGUAACCUUGUUUUCAAAUUUUUGAAAAUCAAAUCAAUUGAAAUGAUGUGGCAGUGCUAGUAAAUUGACAUAACAUUAUAGAUAAUUUAUUUAUCAUAUAAGAUUUUUGAAAUUAUAUAAUUUAGUUUAAGGAAUUUAAUGUCAAAACUAAAUUUCAUUUUUUAAAGAAAAAACGAUUAAAAAUAGCCAAAUUAGAGUAUAAAUACUAAAUCGGUAACAUACAUAUAGUGCAAUAACAAACAACAGAAUUUGACAUAUAUAUAAUACUUUAAAAAAGUUAUAAACACAAUUUUAAAAAAAUCAUUUAUAUGUAACUCAACAGAAAUUAUAAACAAGAAUGGGUUCUUACAGUUCAUUUGUCAACUUAAGAACACUUGAUUAUAAUAUUGUAGGAGAGGUUUGAAUAUAAAAAAGAAGCAUUCAGAGUAUGACUAGACCUCCAAUUGAUAAAAAAAAGAAUACAUAAAUAAGAAAUCAUCAAGGCAAGAUGUAGACCAAAAGGCCAGCUUUGAACAACUCUCAUAUCUUACCUCUAGACCUUGAACUACUUGUUCCCUUGUAAUUUCCUUUUGCUAGCGAGAACGUUUGAGAAAGCCAAUGAAUAAGAUUCCCUGACAAAUUAUUAUCAGUACAAUCAAGGAGUAAACAUAAACUCAACUCAAAAUAAACAUAAACUCAACUCAAAAUCACAGUUUUGAAGCCUUUGCUCAAUUCCACCUCAAACUAUAUUUUAUCAAGACAUGAAAGUGAAUGAUAAACCUCAAACAUCUCACUCUUUAAUUACGUACAAAAGAUUGGCAAAAAUGCUUUAAAUAAAAAUGGUAUUUCCCUACAUAAAUACAAAAUCCUAUUGCCUUUUGUACAAUUCUCAGGGCUUUAACAAUGGCAUCUCUCAAAUCAAAUGGUUAAUAUUAUACAUAUCUCUUCAACAAACAACAACAGAGUGGUAAAAACUAAAACUAACCCCAAAAGGUAAAAAUAAGAAAAAGGGGAAACAUGAUACAAGAACAUUAGAAAAUGCACAUCAGUAGCAUAAAUCCCUAUUACAUCAUAUUCAGUCUUUUUUUUCUUUUUCUCUUAAGAAAUCAGAGGACUUAAAGCAAUUUCAAGCCAUAAAUAUCAUCAUACACAACAGCGGUUUCGGCUUUGGUUUCAUUCGAGUCCUAAUUAACUAAAACAUAAAAUGGGAGAAGCAAAAAUAAAAAUAAAUAAAUAAAUAAUAUUUUGUUGUUAUUGAGUUCUUUUUUCUUAAUGCUAGGUAAUAAUAAAGCUAAAAUUAGGGCGAAAUGUGAAACCCGUGGAGGAUCCAUUGAAGACAAGUUCAGGAUGUCACUAGGGUUGCCACUAUGAGCUAUGCCAAUAACACCACUACUACGAACCUCUACAUCAUCUUUGUGAAGGGAAUCAAGGGCUGCCUCAAACGACUGUUGUCGGCUUGCGUUGAAAACAUGCUGGGGGUUAUUGGAAUACUGUUGAUCGCUUUAUCCCCACUGAAAAUACUGUUGAUUUCUUUAUCCCCACUGAAGACAUCACCAUUCGGUUCUUCUUCUUCCCCACCCUCAACUCGCGAGUUGGCUUAAUGAACUUCGCAAAGGGUCCAUUAAGUCGGUAAAGAACAAAACACCGAAUUGACUCAAUCGAAACAAAUAACCCAAGAAAACCAAAAGCAGAACGUUAAAAAAAACAGAGAAGUAACGAAACCCAAUAGAUAAAACUCCAAUAAAAAAAUGGAUCGAGACCGAGUUUGCACCAAGACUUUUAACUCAUCUACAACUGAGUGAUGAGUAAACAAAGAAAAAGAAAAAGGUGAACUAAAGAUGGCCAGAAAAUGCUGAUUUUAAAAAAUAUUUAGGGAAAUGUUUGCUUGUAGGUGAAAAGGAAAAUGAAGUGUGAUUGGUGUAGGUGUAUUGACUUGGUGUUGUUGGAAAUGGGAAAUUUGGGGGGAAAUUUUCAGAGUAAAAGGAAAAAGAAUUAAGGACAAACUUUUACUUGGGGGAUUUAGGGCGCGCGACAGAGAUGAGAAGAAGAGGGAAUAAUAAGCAAGUAAUCAAAAA